RNAcentral lists this unclassified non-coding RNA (954 nucleotides) under Hevea brasiliensis (rubber tree). Lineage: Eukaryota; Viridiplantae; Streptophyta; Magnoliopsida; Malpighiales; Euphorbiaceae. The record is from RNAcentral.
GAAAAAUUGAAAAAAAAAAAAUCAUAAAGAGCUAUGAUGCAUUUGUGCAACUUAGCAUUAACAACUGAAACAUUGCAAUAAUAUUCACAAAGUUCACAGAUGCUGAAUGUUGGAAACGUAACUUCCAGCACAAAGAACUUUCCAUUACACAUACCAAAGUCUCAUCUGGUGACAAUAAUUUGCAUGACAAAGAAACAGAAAAACUCCCAUAGCCACCACUUCUAUUUAUAUCGGCUAUGCACAGAAGCAACUUGACAAAAGUUCUCUACAAAAUGCAGCUUAUUUAUCAAUCUGUUUCAUGGUCAGGAGUAGGAGAGUACCAAGCAGGAAAUCUUCCUUUAGUUCGAAGCAAUCUAGUAAAUGGCGAAUCUGGCAUUCUAGCUCUCUCUUCUUCUUCUAGCUCUUCCUUAGAUUUUGGCAAUCCAUCAGGUAUUGGACAUGUUCUGUCUCUUUCUUUCUCCACAGUAAUUGGUGCCAUGAAACCAAAACCAUUCUUCCUUCCUUUGUGCAUUGAGGAAAUUCCAUGUAAACAUCCAAUCAAGGAUUUCACUCCACCUGCUUGAAGAAUUAGCUUCUCUACAUCCUCUUUCGGUGACUCUCUUUCCAAAUCUUUCAGCUCAAAAUACGCUCUCCAGCAGCUAUAAGAACCAUCUCCUUCAAGCGUCGAACAAUAAUCGGCGAGUUCAUUCCCGGACUUUUCGAUCAACGGCGGUUCCUUGACAGCUCUUUCAAGCCUGGUUCGACUAAACGGCUCAAGCUGAGGAACAUAAGCACUGCUCCUUGAGGAAGAAGAGGAGGAAGAAGAAGAACAAGUGAUGGUUGAACCAUGUCUCCUGCGGGAAGCGUCUGAACGAUGGAAAUCCUUAGCUUCGACAAGCAAGGGAGAAGAACAGGAACGAACAAGAACAGACUUUAUCAUCUCAUCCAAAUCGAUAAAUGAUAAUUCUAAAUUUG